AGAAUCAACGCUGGCGGCGUGCCUAACACAUGCAAGUCGAACGAGAAAGGGGAGCAAUCCCUGAGUAAAGUGGCGACCGGGUGAGUAACACGUGACUAACCUACCCUCGAGUGUGGAAUAACAUCGGGAAAACCGAUGCUAAUACCGCAUAACAUCGGCGCUUUUAAGAGAUGCCGAUCAAAGGAGCAAUCCGCUUGAGGAGGGGGUCGCGGCUGAUUAGCUAGUUGGCGGGGUAACGCCCACCAAGGCGAAGAUCGGUA
RNAcentral lists this ribosomal RNA (260 nucleotides) under uncultured bacterium. Its description in RNAcentral is "partial small subunit ribosomal RNA". It matches the Rfam family "Bacterial small subunit ribosomal RNA", at positions 26 to 285 of the family's 1533-position model. The record is from RNAcentral.